GAUGAACGCUGGCGGCGUGCCUAACACAUGCAAGUCGAACGGAGAUUACGGACGGAAGUUUUCGGAUGGAAGACUGUAAUUCUUAGUGGCGGACGGGUGAGUAACGCGUGGGCAACCUGCCCUAUACAGGGGGAUAGCAGCUGGAAACGGCUGGUAAGACCGCAUAAGUCGGCGAGACCGCAUGGUUUUGCCGGGAAAUGAGCAAUCAGGUAUAGGAUGGGCCCGCGUCCGAUUAGCCAGUUGGCAGGGUAAAAGCCUACCAAAGCAACGAUCGGUAGCCGGACUGAGAGGUCGGACGGCCACAUUGGGACUGAGACACGGCCCAAACUCCUACAGGAAGCAGCAGUGGGGGAUAUUGCACAAUGGAGGAAACUCUGAUGCAGCGACGCCGCGUGAGUGAAGAAGUAUUUCGGUAUGUAAAGCUCUAUCAGCAGGGAAGAUGAUGACGGUACCUGACUAAGAAGCCCCGGCUAACUACGUG
This 481-nucleotide ribosomal RNA is filed under the name uncultured bacterium. Its description in RNAcentral is "partial 16S ribosomal RNA". It matches the Rfam family "Bacterial small subunit ribosomal RNA", at positions 28 to 507 of the family's 1533-position model. The record is from RNAcentral.